GAUGAACGCUGACAGAAUGCUUAACACAUGCAAGUCGAUGGGGAAGUGGUGCUUGCACCCUGGUAACCAUGGCGGACGGGUGAGUAACGCGUAAGGAACUUACCUGCGGGACCGGGAUAACAGCAGGAAACUGCUGACAAGACCGGAUAAGGUCAUUAAGCUGCAUAGCUUAGUGAUGAAAGGAGACGCCUGCGGAGAGCCUUGCGUCCUAUUAGCUAGUUGGAGGGGUAACGGCCCACCAAGGCGAAGAUAGGUAGCCGGCCUGAGAGGGUGGACGGCCACAAGGGGACUGAGAUACGGCCCUUACUCCUACGGGAGGCAGCAGUGGGGAAUAUUGGACAAUGGGGGCAACCCUGAUCCAGCAAUUCUGUGUGCACGAAGACGGUUUUCGGAUUGUAAAGUGCUUUCAGCAGGGAAGAAGGAAGUGACGGUACCUGCAGAAGAAGCGACGGCUAAAUACGUG
This 463-nucleotide ribosomal RNA is filed under the name uncultured bacterium. Its description in RNAcentral is "partial 16S ribosomal RNA". It matches the Rfam family "Bacterial small subunit ribosomal RNA", at positions 28 to 507 of the family's 1533-position model. The record is from RNAcentral.